GACGAACGCUGGCGGCGUGCUUAACACAUGCAAGUCGAACGAGACGAUUGAAAGCUUGCUUUCGAAAGUCGAGUGGCAAACGGGUGAGUAACGCGUAGACAACCUGCCUUUGAGAUGGGGACAACAGUUCGAAAGGACUGCUAAUACCGAAUGUUGUAUAUUUUCCACAUGGAAGAUAUAUUAAAGAUGGCCUCUAUUUAUAAGCUAUCGCUCAAAGAUGGGUCUGCGUCUGAUUAGCUGGUUGGUGGGGUAACGGCCUACCAAGGCGACGAGCAGUAGCCGGUCUGAGAGGAUGAACGGCCACAUUGGGACUGAGACACGGCCCAGACUCCUACGGGAGGUAGCAGUGGGGAAUCUUCCACAAUGGACGAAAGUCUGAUGGAGCAACGCCGCGUGAGUGAAGAAGGGUUUCGGCUCGUAAAGCUCUGUUGUCGGGGACGAAUGUGCAGUAUUUGAAUAAAGUACUGCAAUGACGGUACCUGACGAGGAAGCCACGGCUAACUACGUGCCAGCCGCCGCCGUAA
This 524-nucleotide ribosomal RNA is filed under the name uncultured bacterium. Its description in RNAcentral is "partial 16S ribosomal RNA". It matches the Rfam family "Bacterial small subunit ribosomal RNA", at positions 28 to 523 of the family's 1533-position model. The record is from RNAcentral.